GAAAAAAAUUCUAAUUUAGCAUUUGAGUGACUGAUCUACACUCACUGCACAUGCACAUGAGUUUUACUUAUGGCUUCCUGGUUGUCAUCUUGACUUUCAUAAUGAUUUUACCUAUGAAUUUGUUUUCAGUGAGUGCAAUUUUGAGGUGACAUGGACCAUCUUCUGGGUGGUUGGGACCUCACUCAUUCAGUGUCACUUCCUAUAUCCUCCUGUUACCUGGGAUCUAGGAUGGCUUCUCAGUCGCUUCCCACCCGUUCAGCCUCCCCUUCUCCCUCUUUCCCGGUGACCAAGACUACCUUUCACCCAGGGAUUCAGCCAGAGAGAGCCCUCCUGUCCUUGGAGAAUCAAUCAUGGACUCAGCACAAGGAGGCCUUUGGCCUGUGCCAAUCCAGUGUCUCAUAGAGCAGACCGAUACCCUUCUUCUCCAGAGCAGGAGCCCAUUCAACAAGUGACUGGCCAGAACCUUUGGUCCCAGCUUCAUCCAGGCACUAAGUGCAUCCCAAAAGAUAGUCACAAUCCCUUUGGGAAGUGUCAGGACAUUGGGGAGAGGACACUGACUUUCGCACUGCAGCUAUAGCUCCAUAUAUUCAUUUUCCUCUGAAACCUACAAAUGACAUAGCGGCUUUGAUUAUAAAUUAUACACGUUUAAGUUGCAGUAGGAAUUAGAUGAAAUACAUCUGUAGAGUAAAUUCUAUCAUAAAAAAUAAGUUGUGAGUAUAGUUACUGGUCUUCCUAGUGACCCAUUCCUUUCCUAAUUUGCUCCUCUUUACUAAAUUAGGAACUGUAUUAAUGGAUAUAAAUGCAGGUCUGUAUCACUGGGUAUAUUUUCUUAUCACAGUCUACCCUAACUCAUUCUUAUGUAGUUGGUAUCUACAUUGAAUAAUCAUAAAAAAUAGCUAUUAAAAGGGAAAACUGAAAUAGGAGGAUUGAAAUUUCAAGCCUAGCCUGGAAAACUUAGUGAUUUAGUGAAUUCCCAUCUCAAAAUAAUAAAUUAAAUAGGUAGAUAGACAGACAGACAGACAGACAUAGACAGACAGACAGCCUGGGGAUGUAGCUUAAUCCCAAUAGCACAAAAAGAUGGCCAGGGCAGAGAUUUUUAGUUAGAUUCAGACCUAAUACUUAUGAAAAGCUCUUGCUGUGGAAGGAUGUGUCCUCAGUAUACAUGUGACAGUAUUGGUUGGAAUGGUGUACCUCAUAGGCCGUGUUUGUCAGACACAUAGAAACCCAUACUCUGGCCCACUUGCAAAGAGAAAGCAAGAAGUUGAAUCAGAUCAGUUGAAACCAACUACACAAUCUGACUCCUCCUCCCCACAGCAGACUCUGUCCGUGGUGCUGCCCAAUCUUUUCCUUCUUUAUCCCUUGGUUACUACAGCAGAGCCUGCUCUCUACCCGUGUCACCUCCAUGCUCCUGUGUAAGAAACAAAAGCUGACUUGUUAGCGGUUUAAUGUCUCAGAAAUACUCAUUAGAGGUAGGCUUCUAGUUAGUGUCAUCUCUUUUAUCUUCCUCAAAAAGACUCCAUGCGUUAAACUUAGGAAACAAAUUAUGACAUUCGGCUCUUCAGACAUAUAUGAAGUAGUGUGUUUUGUUGUACAAUAAUAUACUUAAAACUUAAUAUUAUAGCAACUAAAAAUCUGUUUUUUUAAAAAAGGAAAUUUCUUAAAAUAGUAACCAUUAUAGGCUACUAAAUUUUAAUUAUAUGACCCAAUUUUUCACUCAAGAAAAAAAUAAAAUUGAAAUGAAAAGUUCGUUACCUGGAGUUAUAGGUUAAUGUUAUAGAACAGAGACACAUUAUUUUGUAAAAAGAACCUGUCACUAUAAAAGAAAUGGUUAAAUGACUUUAGAUUGUAAAAUAUAAAUGGAGAUCUUUGGUAAAUAUAUGAAUAUUCUCUGAAUUUUGAAGUAGAAAACAUGAUAAUUUUAAACACAUAGUACCUUAUAGCAUUUUUAAAUUAAGAGUUUUAUUUUGCAAACAAACAGUAGAUAGUUCUGGAAUAAAUUAGAUAUGGAUUUGAAUCCCUUCUCAUGCGAUAAUCCAUAUAAAUGCAAACAUAUUGUGUAAACUCUUUGUAUGAAUGUAAUGUACAUUUUAAAUAUCUACCUCAUAAAGUUUGUAAAUGGGUAAUAUGGAUUAUUUAGAUACAAGUUAAGCACUCAACCAAUGCAGUUGUCUGAUUAAUAUUUUUUAUAUUUUUAGUGGCAUUAUUAUUCCCAGGAGACCACUGAAAGCAACUUUGUAGACAUCAUGAUAUGAAGAUUUUUAUCACUUACUACUUUUGUUUCAGAAGUCCUGAUUUCACCUAUAAGAUUAAAAUCAACCACAUCAAAUGACAUAUGAGAUUUGAAUUCUAUAGUAAGAAAUUUUAGGCUUACACAAAGUCAUUGGAUAUCCUAAGUUAGUAUAUAUUUACUGUUAUCAGGCUAGUGUGUGGGGAAAAGGACAACACAAAGAUAGAAAACGAGAAAAAAGGUAAAGGAUCGAGAAAGGUGAGUGUGGAUACAAGAAGAGUAGAGAAGAGGGAAGGAUAAACAGGCUAGGAAGGGAGUCACCACUCUUGGAAAUACACGAGGAAAAGAAGAAACCAGAACAAAAGAACAAAAGAUUUAUUAUGUUCAUUUAUUUAUUCUAUAUUUAUUUAUUCUAAAAACAGGGAUAAUCAAAAAGGAGAAUUAAAAUAAUUUAAAGAAAAGUAGCCACUUUCCCCACUAAUAUUAUUACUCUUUUCCACUGUUAAUUCUUAGUCGUUUACUUCCUUUUUUCUGGCUUGACAAACAAACCUCACACAUCUUUUCCUACUCGACCUUAAUUGCCCUCUGCAAAACACAGAGACACACACUCAGUUUUCUUUGAAAUUUUCCAGGAAUUUCAUGAAUAAAAAUCUAAGGAAUGGAAUAAGUGCCCUUCAUUUUCUCAAUACUUGCUUUUGAAAUUACUUGUAUUAUAUUAAUAGAAGAGUUAGGAAGUGAGAUAGAGAAGAAAUAACUGAAUGUUAAUCAUGAACACUCUUCUAAUAAUUUAGUUACUCUAUGUUGCCUUGUAAAAAUCAGAAAAUUAAUUGGUUAAAAGAUGUUGUGGAUGUACUUAAUGCUUCUUUAACAUGGAUCUAUUUAUACACACUAGGGAAGAGUAAUGCCUUAUCUUUAAUAUUUAAAAUUGUACAUAAUAUUACUUUUAAUGUAUUCAUAAAAAUGAAUGCAUACUUAUGGGCUCAUGGACUCUAAGGAAUAGUGGAUAAACAAUACAUUUUGUGUUACUAUUUCCAAACUCCCCACAAGCUUAAAACAUUUGUGUUCAAUAUAUACAUUUUUUAUUGACACAGCAAGUGAAAACCAGGAGGUUAAAAAAUGCUCUAGGGGAAAGUGUACUUCUAGAACCCUUAUUUUCUAGAUUUUUAGUUAAUAUAUUUUCUACUAUAUCAAAUGAUAUUAAGUGUAUAAUUAUGUGUUUUUGUGAAUGUGUGAGUGUGUGGAUGUCUCUGUGUGUAUGACUGAGUUCUUUUCAGGCCUCAUAUUCCAGUGGGUGAGAGGAAAUAGCAAUGAGAGCCCUUCCUGUCCUGUCCGUCUGCCAUGUUGGUACUCAUGAGUUGGGACUACAGUCACACAGGUGUGUGUAUAUUCUCAAAUCAGCAUGAAGGAUAAGAUAGCAGCUCAGGAAAACUCUUCUCACUAUUCACCUUAUUCCUGCUCUUCAAAGUGACCUUCUGUGUGCCAUUUAUUUUUCUUUUCUCACUAUUUUUCUUUCUUAAUUUUCUUCACCUUUAUACUUAGGUACCUUUGUCCACUCCUUCUUUCUGUUUUUAACCUUCUAUCCUCUGAGGGUUCCUCACUGCCAUGGUAUCGUACUUCUCAAACAUGUAAGUCGAAAAGGCAAAAUAAAAUCCUAUAUUCAGGAAAAUGAAAACCUCAUAUAUCAGGUAAUAAGUCAAUAUGUGAAUAUGCAAACACACCUAUAAAAUGCUGACUAAAUGAGAGUGUAUAUAAUGUGAGAUAGUACAUACAUAUCUUUUAUGAUAUAUAGUAAUACAUAUUCUUUUACAAUGCACCAUUACGGUUGCUGUGAAGUUUACAGUAUUUUAUAUUGCUUUCACAGAAGCAAGCUAAAACUUGCUUAUGUAAAUUUGUAAAUAAUUAUUACUGAAAUUGUCCAUUGGCAUUUCUAGUAUAUAUGACAAAUUGUGAUCUAUUAGUCAUCUUAUUUAAAAUGCUGUCCCAAUUUACCUUUUGCAAAUAUAACACAAUGGACAAGAACCAGAUCUAAAAUCAUACAUGUCUGAGUACCCUUUCAGGUCCACUGAUUAUUAUGUAACCUUGGAUGAGUGGCUUAAACUACUUUACUGUUUUAGGGAAUAAUUUCAGGACAUAAUUUCUAAGAUUGCAGCAAAAACUUCAAUAAUUAAAACAUACAAGACAAAUGAUCAUAAUUUAAAAAACAGUAUGAUAAUAUGCUUUAUAGCAUUGUGCUCCAAUUAAUUACUCAUUGUAGAUAUAAAUAGAAUGAAUACUAAAAUGAUAUUUAAGUUUAUAAUUGUUAAUGUUACAAUAGUCAAUUUUUCUAUAAGCUGAUUUUUUAAAAAUUAGCACAUAUCAAUAGGAAUAAAUUUAAGUUAUGUAUGUAACAUCACAUUCUAACCAGAUAUUCAGUGAAUAUAAACCUUUUUGUUUGAAUAUUAGUUUAUACACUUACUCUAUAUUUUGAUUUACACAAUACAAGAAAUAGGAUUCUACAAUAAAUGGAAGAUACAAUUCCAAGUGUUUCCACAGGCAUUGUUCAAAGCAUUCAAUUUGUUUGGUCAGUCCCUUUAAAUUCCUUAAAUUGGAAGGUUUCUGUAGAUUCUCAGAUGUACAAGUGUGUUUUUACUUUAAAAAUAGGAAAAGGGUUUAUCUGUUACUCAUACGUUCAGUGUCACACAGUUUGAUCUACAGAAGCUAUGUUAUGGUAAAAGAGGGGUUCGUGAACUACCAGAUCUGGCCUGAUUCUUUUUGUAAAUAAAAUUUUAUUGGAAUACAGUUUCAAAAAAAAAAAGGAAAUAUGUGGGAUCUAUAGCAAGAUUAAUAAAUUCCACUGGGAGCAAAAUAGAGAGUAAGAAAAAUAAGGAAAUAGAGAAGAUGGAGCAAUGGAAACAAGGCAUUAUGUUAUGACUACAACCAUGGCAAUUCAUUGACUGGAUAUUUUAGAUAAAGACAGAAAUCUAGAAGUUGCAGUCCUAUGUAUGGAGAAUCAUGAAAGUACUACAUCAUCUAUGCAAACUUUAACAAAAUAUUUAGUUGUUUAAACUUAAGUUCUACUAGAACACCUUUUUAUGAUUGAUAAGAGAAAAGAGCUCUUCUGUCUAAUUUGUAGAAAUGUAGAUAAAAGAAUAUGAAAUUCUCUUCCAUUUAUUUUCACACAUUUUUAUUGAUACUUACCUAAAACAUUUUAGCAUUUCCUCAUGCCAUUCAAUACAUUUUCCUAAUUAUGGAAGCCAUUUUUGAUAUUAAAAAAAUCCCUGAAACUUUUUACACAAAUCUGAUAUUUUGAGUACAUACUCUUAAAAGCUAUUUGCCAUUUUUUAAAUUUUCAAAAUGGUUUCAGUAGCAGCCACCCAAUAGUUUUAUUGAAAAAGACCAAAUUCCUGUUCCUCUAAAUUCUUGUUAGAGAUUUGGAAUAUUAGAAUACUUGUCUGUAUAAUUAAUAGAUAUCCAAACCAUUCAGAUUGUAAUAUAUAAUUUCACAAUACAUUUCCAUCAAAACAUAUGGUAAAAACAAAAUUCUGUCAGUAAAAUACAAAUCUAAUGUUUUAUAAAUUAUUUUUAAGUAUAAUGUGAAAUAAAUUAAAAAUGUCCUUAAAUAAUCUAACAAAUACUUCUUAAAAACACCAGAGGAAACCCAAAACAUGAAAAGAAUCAAGCAAUAUUAAUUAUUCAUAAGUGCUCUAGAUUUGACUGGAUGAAUUCAAUUGUCCUAUACAGAAUAAAGACAUUUAUAUUAAACUUUGUACCCCAAAAUAAAUCAUAACAUGAAUAUUUUAGAAACUUUCCACAUAGUUCUUAUAGAAGGAAAAAUCAGCUUACUUUUAAUAAAUCUUCAAAAACAAAUUUUGGGUAUUUCUGCUUAUUUCUUCCUAUUCCUUUGAAAUUGAAAAGUAAGAGUUUUUUAUAAUAUUAAUAUUCUUUUAAUCUUGUUUUACUAACUUUACUAUUUUUUGACUUUGUGGCUUUAGAUAAUAUAAUGGAUGUGCGUUUCAAAUUCCUGAGUAGUACAAGCGUCACAAUUCUUACAUUUACUCUCAUUUUAAAUCAUGAGGCUUAUAAGCAUUGUACACUUCAUCAGAAAUGGAGUAAGAAUAGUUGAUGGAAUGGAAAAAUAAACCUAUAGAUCAUUGAAAAUAUGAUGUUAGAUCCCUAAAAUAUCCUUACACAGCCAGUCCUGUACUGAGGUAGAUACUUUGCUGUUGGCAGUAGUUGCCAUGUUAUCCUUAAGAGAUGCCUUUGGGUGUUGAUGUUGAAAUGACUAAUGAAAAGUAACUGGAGUUUGGACUCUGAGUACUAGAAUUCAAUCAGAUAUACUAAAUUGACAGAAAAAAUAAAUUAAAAUGUAAUGUACAUGUGCCAACUCCACACAUGGAAUAUAAGCAUUAGGUACUGCAGACAUGGGGUAAUAAAAAUGAAAAAAAAAAUUAAAACUGACAGAAUGUGAAAUAUUCCAUUCCAAGGCACUGUGAAAUUUCAGUGAUUAAUUCUGUUUUUACUGUAGAUAAAAUCAGGAAAGAGGAAAGGAGGAUGAUACUUGUAAAUCUUUCUAGAGGUGUUUAUAUUCCUUGGAAGUACUAAUAACUUGAAACUCCCAUUUUAUUAAUAUUAAAAACUCCCAUGUCAUUAGUAUUUGCCAUAUUUGCCAUUAAGAUCUUUAUAAUGUUGUAUACUUGAAUUCUUUUCUAUGCUGAUCAAAUUGACUGUGAAAAUAAAAAUAUGAUCUUUAUAGAUUACUAGGUAAUGCCUACUAAUACAUGGUAAUCAUAGGUCAUACUUCUAACCAGAUUGUAUAUUAAAAUAGUGCUAUUUUGCUACAUUCAAAUAACUAAAUUAAUUUUCAUUAGACAGAUCUUCCUGCUUUGUUCACAAUUUUUCACCCCUUGAUGGUUAAUAAUUUAAGUCCAAAAAGAGUACAAGGAAAAUGAAAUGCGAUUUUUAAAAUGUCAACUUCAGAGUAGUUCUCUAUGUAGCAUAAUAAGGAUAUUAAGUUACUGCUGGAUGGAUAGAGAUUUAGAAUUCCUUGAGAUAUUUAUACAAGAAAAAAACCUAGAUUAACAUUCUUUUAAAAGUUACAUAUUUUUAAAAUUAUCUGAUUAAUAAGAAAUUAAAAAAACAACUUAAGAAAACCUUUAUAGGAAGAUUACCAUAUAACUAACAGGGACCUUUCCUCUAAUUUUAAACCCUCAAAAUGUUAAUUCUAAACAAUUAGAAUUCUCACUGUUCUUAAAUUUUGUUAUAUUCCUUUUCUGGCACAAUAAUCAGAAAAUGGGUAAAUCCAAUGAAGGCAAAUGAUUUCAGCAUAAACACAAAUUGGCUCACAAAUUAGCUCUCAGGUUGCAGAAAGAAUCUUCAGACAGACUUAAGCCCAAGGAACAUUUGUACAAGUGCAGGAAAGCAGGGGAACAUAGUUACAUGUAAGAACCCCUAAUGCUGAUGCCCAGAAAACAUGUAGUGAAAUUGACGACAGGCUGCUUGAAAUACUGUCUUCUCAAAUUAUCUUAACUAUAGAUUUUUGCAUGCUGCUGAGGAUUUUAUUUAUUGGAGAAUCCAUUUGGAUAGCAUAGAUUAUCUUUCCUUACACCUCCGCCCAUUAUUAUUAUUUUUUGUCACCUGAGAGAUAAAUGAAGAUCCCUAUGGGAUAUCACUUCUCUCUUUCUAAUGUAUUAUUAUUUGGAAAUAUCUUUGAUGAAAAAGCAGCAGCUUCUCACAUAUCUUUUAUUUGGACCUUUUAAUAUAGUGUCCUAGUUUUAUGUAGUGCACCAACUUGUUAUUAGUAAAAGGUGAGUGGGUAAAUAAAAAGGAGCUAUCUUUAUACUUUUAAUUUAUUCUCUGUAUAGAAAUAACAAUGGAAAAUUCAGUAUUCCAACUAUAUUAACUUUAAGAUUUUGCUUUAUGGUGAUAAUAUUACCAUUUUUUUCUAUUGAUAGAUGACUACCAUGAACAAUUCAAACAACAUAGAAAACAAGUAAGAAAAAUGUUAUAAAUCACAGAAAAUCUAUAUCCAUAAAUAAAUAGUGGAUUUGGUGAAGAAGAUUCCAGACAUUGCUGUAUGUAUAAUAGAUCCCAUCCCAGUUAUACAGAUUUACUUCCUUCUAAGUCUGUACAACAUAUAUCUGUAAGAGUGAAAGGCAAGUCUUUGACCUUCCUUGUGAAAACCCUUAGAACACAGUGAUUAUGUUUAAUACAUUUUAUCAAAUUCACUGCCUAAUUAAAAUAAUAAAAGCUAGAAAUGUGAAUGUUAAAUUUAAACUAAUAUAAGACGCAUACUGCAUAUAAAAAUCUUUUAUUCUAUAACCUAAAUUCUAAAAGACAGAAGUAACUUAACUAUUUCUUUCCAGCUCUUGGUUCCUAAAAAUCAAGACAAUGUAAGUAUAGGUAAGAUAGUAAUAUAUAGAGAAACAUAUUUUGCUAUUUGGGAUUUUUGUUUCUUUUCUUGAUUUCUUGCUUUUAAUUUCUAUUACAUUUUUGGUGUUAUUUAAAAGUAUGCCUUUAUGAUGUCCUGUAAAGAAAAGAAUGCCCAGAAGUAUGCAAAGCCUACAUUCAGAAGUUGUAGCUCUCAGAGUUUUCAUCUUUUUUAAUUAAAAAGAAAAAUUAUUUCUUGAUACAGUAGAAAAUUAUUUAAUAGCUCUUUUGUGUAAAUAUAUGUUAUAUUAAGAAAAAAUUAAAAUAGCAAACUACCUCAGGAUUUGUGUGUGUUGACUUGGUCAAAACAUUGGACUUGGCACAUGAGCAGUGAGCAUUUUAAGGAAAUAAUUAGCUUUUCAAAUACUUGACUGCCAGAAAGCCAUUUCUGCUGUACAAUAUACCCAGGGGCAAUGAAGCAUCCUAAAAGUUCCCUAAGUUGCUCCACUUUCUCAAUCACAAUCAUUUUUUUUUUUUUGGUACCUGGGAUUGAACUCGGGAUCCGAGUGCUUGUGAGGCAGGUGGCAGAACCACUGAGCUAAAUCCCCAGCCCAAUCAGAGUGUUUUGUAAGUCAUUAUUUCCUUUACAUCCAUUUUUGUGAAGUUUAUGUUGGUUAAUUGGCCUGGGAAUUGAUCAGUCUUUAUGAUAAAUGUGGCUGCCAUGAAGGUUUCACUUGCUCUGAUAGAAAGCCUUACUAUUCCAAGUUGAAUGGCACUGCCAUUUUUCUUCUUGUUUAGAGAAGGCAAUUCUGUUUAUCUCCAGCACCAACUCAAAUGAAUUGGUGGUAGCUUUCUGCAGUGAUUUGUUUUCUUGAGAAGAAUAAAUGGAAUAGUGGGUAAAUGGAAUAGUGCUGUGAUCACUUUCCAUGUCUGCUGUUCUGCGAAAAGUAACAGAACUAUCCUUGCCUUCUGUUGACACCUCAGUUUCAGAUCCUCGGUCAUGGAAACACAAUCUCUUUGAAGGAUGGCAGUGCAACCUGAGUGGGUUUCUAGUUUUCUUCCAGGUUAAUCUUUGUAGUGUGUGUUGGGCUGGAAAGAGACAGUCAAAUACAUUGUUACCAUGAGUCAUGCCAAUAUCUGAGUAUAAUUUAAAUCCGAACCAUUUAAAAUUUUUCAAAAGCAAAUACAAUUGAUAUUAACAUAAAAAUAAAUCUGUCAAAAAGCCAAUUUCAGUAAUGAAAACUCUUUUGAUGCCGCUUGAGUACUUAAUAGAAAUUAAGAAUUAAAAAAUCACGUACACCUCGGUUCACAAAAUUCAUUCCAUGAUUCUGGAAAAGAUGGUCAUGUACAUGUUGAGUAGGAAAGAUGACAAUGAUUAUGUUUGUCACCCAAUGAAGAGUUCACAAACAAACAAACAAAAUUUUCCAAACACUUCUGUAUGGGAGCCAAAUUGCAAACAAAAGCAUUGUUCAUGAAACAAGGUACCACUGUAAAUGGAAAAGAAAACAUCUACACUACAUUGCAAUACUUAAUUGCAAGAUUACAAUUGCCUGGCCAUUCACAAUAAAGAAGAAACAGCUAUACAAGGCAUUUGUCUGUGGACUUUCAUUUUUUGAUCUAGUGGAGGAAGGAAUGGGAAACUACUACUGGAAAGAACAUCCUACUGGAGACAUAAAUUGAAUCACUCAAACACUUCCAUUCUUCUAGUGAUUAAGUUCAUUCCAGUAUUGUAAUGCUGAAAUAGAGAAAGAGAUAGAAGUGCUACAUUUGCACACAAAAUCAUUGCUAAACAGGAUUCAUGAACUAAUAAAGCAAAAUUGGGAUGAUUUUAUACAUUAUACUUCUAAUGUUAUAAGAAAAAUCAAUGGGAGCUCUAUUAUGAGAACUAUAAUGUGUGUUAGAAUCAAUAAUAUAAGUAUUACAUUUGUGGACUUAAAGAGAAACAAAGGUAUAUGCCUCUGUGUUAGUGUCCUUAUAAUUUAUAUCAUCUAGUUAUUUAUAACAUGGCCACACAUUAUUUAUCAGGAAUUAAACACAUGAGUAUGAUCUUCAGGAAGAAUUUGCAUGUGUGUAUCAAUAAACAUGUAAUGAUGAAUGUUCAAAUAGUCUUGUUUUUAGCAAAUACUGGAAACAAUCUAUCAAUUUUAGGAUGGCUAAUGAAAUUGAAUCUUAUGUCUUUAAUACUACACAUAUCAACAUUCAUGAAACUAAAACAUUUGAAAAAAAAAGAAUAUUGCAGAAAAAUGCAAAUAAUUCAGAAACAUGACAGAGUCUGUUGUUAAACACCCUACCAUGAACAGGAAAGUCCCUCACAACAAAUAAUUUUCUGACCCAAAUACUAAUACCAAUGAUCCUGAGAAACCUUUUCUAAGGAAAAGUGACAGUAUAAUGCCAAUUUCAGGAACACUUUUAAGGAAAGGAGAAGCAUAAUGAUUUUUCCUUUUACAUUUUCCUUUGUACUAGUACUCCCUUUAUUUAAAGUGUCAUUUUGCUGGUUUUCAUUCAUUUCACUUAUUGUUCUGUAUUCCUAAAAUUUGCAAAACUGUGUCAACCUGAUACAUCUAAAAUGUAUCUCCUGGGUUAAAUUAACAUUUGCCUGAUAAUCUAAUGAGUUUGAAUAUCUUUUCAUAUUUUAGAAUUCAUUCUUACUCUUUUUCUUUGAAAUGUUUAAUGUGCUGCUUAACACAUCCACUGAGUUUAGGAUUUAGUGUUUCAUUGCUAGAAGUACUUUCUGCUUUUUGGUAAACCCAUGAGGUCAAUUUUAUAGUAUCUUGUUCCUUUAUUGUGUCUUCAGUCUGCAUGUGUAUGAUUCUACACUUUUUAAAAGAUUGUCUUUUGUGAUGCUUGAUUUCUUCACCUUUUCUGUAAUAUUUGAUGAUCACAAAAACUUAGUGUUGUUUUAAGGCUACUAUGAGAGAAGAUGUGUAUACAUGUCAGUAUUAGGAUUACAUUACGGGAGCUACAAAUACCACAUCUGCCUCCUUCCACCAAGCCUUUUUAUAGGAAAAUAAAAGCUAAAGCUCAAAGUAUGAGAGAGGUCCUUUGGUAUUACCUCCAUGAAAAAGUUGCUAGUCAUCUGAGAACUUUAACUCCCGAGGAAUAGCAAUAAUUAUAUUGGUGAUAUAAAGUAAGCUCCUGUAUCAAUGUCUAUGCCUACUGUGAAUAUAUGAUGAAUUCACACAAUAAACCCUAGGAAAUCAAUUGAUAUUAUAGCUCAAACUAUUCCUAUAUACCAUGAGUAUUAUUCAUAUAUACUCAAAAUAUUUUAAUCUAUUAAUAUACAUAUUUCUGAAAAUCUUGUUGCUCAUUUUUAUAAGAUUUAUUAUCUAGUAUAAUGAAUGCAGAUUGCACUUAUAUUUAUUUAUAUGACAUCUAUAAGUAUUAGGUUAAUGUUUCUAAAGCCAGGUAUAGUGCUGCCCAACUAUUAUUCCAGCAUUUUGGGAUGCUGCCGUGGAAGAUCACAAGUUGGAGCCCAGCCCGGGCAACUUAGUGACUUAGUAAGAACCUGUGUUGAAAAAAAAGUAGAAAAAGAAUUUGAGAUGUAACUAAGUGUAAAGAUCCUGGGUUCAGCCCCUACUACAGGGGUAAAAGAACGAUUGCUGAAAACAGAUGAAAAAGUAGAAAACUUUUCAUGUAUGAGAGACUUUAGAAACUUACUUUCAUGUAUGAUCUAUUCACAGUCUACAUGUAAAUCUGAUGUUACAGUUGAACAGAUUCAGACAGUGCUUAGAGAUAGGAGAACAUUUGGGGAAAGGGCGGGAAUAUGCUUUAAAACAGGAGUAUGGAAUUAACUUCUGACAAUGUGAGGCAAUGUUAAGAUUCCACUUACUUGUCCAAAAUAUUUUGUCUAGCACUUCUUCUUUUACUCAGCAUGGCCUAAAGCUCAAACGACUGUAGAAAUCUCAAGAUUAAAUAUCCAAAUGAGAAUUUGUUUGGAGAAAGGCCAGAGCUCUUUCCUGUGUAACAUAAGUGCGUCCACAUUAGUCUUCUCUGCAAUCUAGCUCCUUGAGACUGUCCUAGGUUUUAAUCCCCAGUUAAAAAAAAAAAAAAAUCUAGUUAAAGCAAAAUACACUAAAAUUUCUUCAAGCAAAAACAAGGUCUAUACCUGCAACAUAAAUUUAUUUUACACAUGCACAAGAGUUAUUAAAGAUACAGAUUUAUAGUUGAUAGCUAAUGCGAGUGGGGUUAAAGAAUUAAAGUCAGAAAAGAGGAAUCCAACAGCUAGGUGGAAUUAUUCUUUCCAGCAAUAUGCUGCAAAAAUAAAUACCAAAACAGAAAUAAAUACUGCAGUUUGUACAAUUUCAAAUGAAUUCCAAAUAUGACAAAGUAAAAACAAAAAUAAUAGGGAUAAUUUAGGAAUUGUUAAGUAUAUGAGAGCUUAUGCACAGUGCCAAUAGUUUUAAUUACAACAAAAGCAUGUGGAUAUUUUUGUGCCCUACGCCUCUAUCUUACAGUGAAAAUUUCCUGUGUAAAUAGUAUAAUGUCUAAAAUAGAAAAGUAACUUCUGCUGUUCUCAAGUGAAAUGAAGAAAAUCAAUAAUUAAUCAAUUUUGUUAGAGAGAUUCAAACUGACUUAGCAAAUAAACUCCAAAUAUUUUAUCGUGCUCUCUGGAUAUCUUAUUAACAGGAGUCUUUCCUCAAUCACAUGAUAAAAACUUCCCUAUUAUUGAUAUUUUCAUUUCUUAAGAUCUCAGUCAUUAUACGUUUCCUUAUCAGACAGGGAAGAAGAACAAGGAGACAAAGAUUCCUAGAAAGCUUUGGCCAAAAAGAGACACAGACUACUUGCAAACUCAUUUCUUCCAUUUCCUGAUUUUCCUGGGCCACCACAAGUAAUUCUCAGCAUUCGGUGUAUAUCUUGUCCUCAACUUUAUUUAUUUUUUUACAUGGUUUUGACUCAUUUACUUACUUGGUCCUCUUCUAAUUUCAGCAACCUCAACACCCUUUUGAUCAAUACUCUUGGAAAACAUGCAUCAGUUCAUAUAUUUGUAUGUAUAUUUGUAUUCAUAUAUUUGUAACUUACUUUUAUAAUGCUUCACCUCCGCAUCUGACCAUCACAACACUUGAAGGUCUUGCCAUAUACAUUUUAAUAAAGAGGAAAGAAAGGCCAGAGAUUAAGUACUGCUCCAUUUUUAUAAGUAAUGUAGACUAAAUAUAAAAUUGGUAAAGCUUAAGCUCUUCUAUCUACAGAAUAAUUGAUUCAGGCCUCAAGAAUAUGUUAAAUAUAAUCAAAAAUAUUACCUUUGACUCUCUAUGCUUUUCUAUUCUCACCCAUCACACACAGAGCUACCUCAACACAUUGGAAAACAAAUUGCCAACAUCAGCAAUGAUAUUUUGAAUCUCCCUCCCCUGAUGUUGUUAGUUAGACAGGAUAUACACACGUAUCUUUACUCAUGGGAGUUUUAUUUGAAAUUCCUUAAAAGGUGGUCAUUAAAAGCUGAAGAGAGAAAGAGGAACUCUUUAAGAAAUACUGUAUUUGUCCCUGUGGAUUUGCACCCCUGAAAGCUAUUUGGGGACAUCUUGGUGGCCUCAAUGACAUUUUUAAAGUCAACUUUCAAAAGACAAAUUUGGUGCUAUGUAUUUUUGAGGUACAUAGAAAUCUAAGUGCCAUUUUCUAAUACCAGAAUAUAUCUUAGGGAAGCUCAUGGAUUUAGAAAUACUUUGAUAGUGCCAUCUAGUGAAUGAAAUUCAGCAAUCUAUUUCAAAUAAUCUGUUUGGUUAAAGACAAAAGGGAAAGUAACGCUGUUCCUAAUAUAAUGAAUUUCCAUCUUUCUGGUGCUGAAAGUAUUUUAUCACUUUAGCAUGUCCUUCUUUGUUGGAUUUUUUGAAUGUCACACAAUGCUUUCAAGAAUAACAGCGAAAGGUAGGUUGCUUUUACUUUGUACAAAAUUCUAGUAAUAACUUCAUUGCAUUCCUGAGAGAGCCACUGGAGAUAAAUAGCUCUGUCAAACACAUCUGCUAGCAUUCUUUAAUAAUCUCAGACAUGCAAUCACUCAAAACAUGAGGGGAAAGAAGACUAGGUUAUGAAAGUACGCUUGCUGAUCCUGAGGGUUAAGCCUCAUAUGACGCCCUGGAAGGUUCAGCUGUGAAAUCACUGUCUGCCUCUCCACAGUAACAAGACUGUAAAAUGUUUGGAACAAAGGAUAUCGAUGGUGAUCUUAUUAGAAGAAGAGAAUAACAGCAUAUACCUAGAGAAGGAUAAAAGGUUUUCAAAUACUUAUUUUAAUGCAGAAAGUGAAUAAAAUACUAUAUCUAAUUAUUAUAUUAAAUAUUUGUAAUGCUCAAACUAAUGGAAGUCAUUUUUAUUAAGAAUUAUAACAUUCCUGUUACAGUCAAAGGCCUUCAAUAAAAAUAAAUAAUGCAGUAAGUCUACAUUUAAUCCUUAUAUUGUCUUCCUGCUCACAUGAUCAUAUGGAACAUACAUAUACAUAUUGUGCUUUUAUGUUCUAAUAACCUUUAUCAUCAUUUUUUAUUUCGUAUGUUUUUUGGCCAUAUAUUUACACUUAGCAUCCACUAAAGGAUAAAUUGAGAUACCUUGAUUCCAAUUUCCAUAUGCUCUAUUCUUUUAUGGCCUUCCUUCUCUAGCUUAUUGUUUAUUUUUUCUGCACAAAUAAGCUGUACUUACGUUAAUCUAACAGGGUUACUUGAUCUGAUUUACAGUCCUAUUGAGUAUGAGAGCUGUGAAAAUGUCUGAAGUUAUCACUGAGGGAAUGGUACUAGGCACAUACUACACAGUAGCUACUAGGUAGAAUACGAAAGGCCAUUCCUCUGAACAUUGUCCUCACAGUCAUGUUUAGUCUUGCUAAGCAGCAUCUACUCCUUCAAUUUCAUUGGAGCUUUCAAUAUCUUGUGCAAAAUGUUGCCUGAUGCAUCUUUCAUAAGUGUUCAGGAAUGUUCUGCAUUAUCUUUACUGGGAGAAAAAGAGCAACAGAAGAUGUAUGGAGUUUGCCUUUUGGCAUAUUUAUUGAGUGACGCAUGGGGACAGGAGCAUGUGAUGCCUCAUUGCUUCAUCUCUGAUCCCGACUCAAGACCUGCAGUGCCCAGGGCUGCUUGAGAUGGGCUGAUGAAUGUGUGAAAUUGAGAAAAUCAUCUUGGGAUGACUAGGAUAGCCUAAGUCAUGCGUGAAAGUUUUCAUUAUUAUAGAUUUGUCCUCAGAUGCAUUUGCCCUUGAAGAUGUGUCCUUUUUCUUUGUUUUGAAAUUUUAGAUUUUUGACUUUGAAGCACUCUUCAGGCAGUUAAUCAAAAGCUGUUAUUUCUGGUACUCUGAACUUCUAUUUCUCCCACAGAUGGCAUUAUAAUACAAAUAAAGAAAAUGGAGAAAUUAAUCACUUAGCCCAAGGCACCAUCUAUUUUCAUUUUUCACUUGUAUCAGUCUCCACCUUUUCCAAACUAUAUUAAGUGUAGAGAUAAAUGUAUUCAUAUUGUGAUUACAGAACUGCAUCCUGUGCCUUUCAAAUGUAUUAUCAUUUAUUUUGCCAUGUGUACACUUCUGGUCAUUUAUCUGUUUGCUCCUAUUUCUCCAUAAAUAUCUGCUAUUAUUCCUCUAGCUAUACCUUUUCUUUCUAUCUGCAAUUGGUAGUUUUAAUUUAGAUGCACAUGUUUUAAGGAUGAUCCAAAAACUUACAGUUCCUCACCACUGCUUAGCUGACUCAAAAUGUCCACUCUGGUAUCCAAGAUAUCAUUGGUAGGCUGAUGUUAACAAUGCAAACACAAUUUCCAUUUCAGCAUCAUGUCUAUCAGCCACACCUGAUACCACUUAAUUUCUAGAUCUAUUUGGAAGAAAAUGCUUAUGAUUCAGUAUAUUGUUUUGAUUGACUUGUAAGUGCC
This 16395-nucleotide long non-coding RNA is filed under the name Heterocephalus glaber (naked mole-rat). Its description in RNAcentral is "lncRNA (ENSHGLG00000048536.1)". Lineage: Eukaryota; Metazoa; Chordata; Mammalia; Rodentia; Bathyergidae. The record is from RNAcentral.